Globicephala melas (long-finned pilot whale) is the source of this 5945-nucleotide long non-coding RNA. RefSeq lists it as uncharacterized. The record is from RefSeq and is a predicted model, not a curated record. Lineage: Eukaryota; Metazoa; Chordata; Mammalia; Artiodactyla; Delphinidae.
GUCAAAGAUAGCACAUCUGAAAUCCAGCAGGGGAGUCUCAUUCCUUCUCUUCACUGGAGCCUAAAAUGGGUCGCUGAGGCUGCUUGACAAAGGCAGAGACUGAAGGCUGACCCUUAGACACAAGCGAGGGGACUACAGAGUCCCCGAGAGGAAGGCUGCUAGGAAGCUGCUGAGGGCUGACCCAAGGCACGCUGGGCAAACCUCCAGGUGCCAGGCCAGCAGGAGAGCAUCUGCUGCACCUGCCCAUCGCAGGUGGUAAUCAAGAUGGCAGACCAAGAAUCAGGGCACCUGGGCACCGCCGUUAUCUCACUGGGUUCUCUCCAAGCCCUGGAAGCUACUCGACCUGCUCUGCAACUCGAGGGAUGAGAAGGGAAACAAAAGAGUGUAUCAAUUCAGGAGAUUUACCAUGAAUGCAGCACAUGUCACAAAGAAGACGUGAGGACAUGGGGGCUGUCCGGUCAGCUCACCAGCCAGAUGGCUUCUUCCCACUCGCCAGCUAUGACUCGACAAGCUCAAAGUCAGAGUCUCAGCAAAAUGACCCCUUCCCACAUGCAAGGGACCUUUGACAUCACCUGGGAAUCCACUGAAAAGGCAAACAUUACAUCUGAGAAUCACAAGGGUCUAACGUAGAGUUCGUAGGCCGGCAGCCCAAAGGCUGAAGCCAGCCUGCAGAUUGCGUUGUGUGACUUUUUUUAAAAAUUGGAAACAGAUGCUAAGUUAAAAAAAAAAAAAAGAAUAGGAAAUCCACCUGAAAAUCGGGAUUCCUGGCAUCUCUUGAAAAGUCCUAUGAUCUGACGUGGCAAUCGUGAGCUGGGGGGCAGCUCCUGCUGCAGGCGUGGCAUCAGUGAUGGUCACGUGCCUGUAAGCCCGGAAACUGUGCACGAUUUGUGCCGUGAAAGGUCCAGGGAAACAUCUGGCUUAGCCCUGUUUUGUCCUGAGCGGCACAUACUCCCUCUAAAAUCCACCCAGGAGGGGGAAGGGGGCUGCCCGCUGGGACAAUAGCUUACGUCUGAGUAUUCCAGAGCCUCUGUGCAUUUUAAGUUGGCUCAGCCUCGGCAGGCUACACGCUUCCCACAGCGUAGGAGACCGCGACAAAUGGCCACAAAUGCCUCCCACCUGCAUCCCACCUGCAAUGUGCCAUAUCGCCCUGUGACGCUGCAGCAUCUCCCAUCAAAAGGUGGGUGGAAUCUGUUUCUCUAGCUGGGCAUGGCCUGGUGACUUCCUUUGGCCAACAGGUCCUUAGCAGUCACGACCAAGCGGAGCCUAACUUAAGAAAGGACUUACAUGCUGGGGUGUGUCCUCUCGGGCUGCCUGGAGACCACCAGGCGCUGGGUAAUGAGACCACGUGGAGCAGAGACGAGGCAUCCCAGCUGAGGUCCUUGGGCCAGCGGGACUGCCAGACGCUGUGAGGGUGGCCGUGCGAGACCAGCCAGCCAGGCACCCACUAUGGAACCGGCCAGCCCCCCUGCAGCAAUAAUAAAAGCAUUGUUGCUUGCAGCCACUGCAGUGUGGAGGGGAUUGUUAGGCGGCAAGAGAUAGUUGAUACACCUGGCUUGUCCAGGCCUGUGCUCUUCUCAUCUCUGAAGCUUAUUUGGGGGCCUCUCCACAGGCAGAUGCUGUCUGUAACCCUUAAUACCCAUUCUUCUGCUGCUGUCUCUUCGUGAGCCCAGGAAUGCACGUGAUUUUUAAUGAUUUUUCAAGGAAGGCAGUCAGCCCCCAUCUCCCCAUCCCUGACUAAAUGACUUUACUCUUUCCUCGCAUAUUACAGUCCUUUGCUCUGCACCCGGCCCCUGAAGAAUUUGUAGCAAAGUGUCCUGUGUGGUUAAUUUUUGUAAGAAAUGAGCAGCAGUUGCUUUCAUCCUCCCAGCAGCAGCGACCUUCACGGCAUCCAUGUUUCCCUUCAGGGAACCACCUCUUCUCCAUCUUCUCAGUCUACAUGCUUUGGACGGAUCUGGAUCUGCCCCCACUCCUGGCCCUUCCUGGGCCCUUGAGAGAACAGGUGCCUCUCUCCCUGACUACAGAGACUGGAGAUCGGUUCAGGGUAGAGCCGGUUCUUGGACUCUGCUGGAACUAUUUGGAGAGGAGCAGUCCCUUUCCCCGGGGGUUGCUAAGUCAGUAAAUGCGAGCCUGGAGCCACCAGGGACCAUCUCCAGACCACGCCUGAGACUACGGAUGUGGUUCUCAAAGUGUGGUCCCUGGAGCAGUAACAUCAGUAUCACCUAGGAACUUGUUAGGAAUUAAAACACUUAGGCUCCACCCUAGAUGCACUGAAUUAAAAAUUGGGCAGGGUCCAACAAUCUGGUUUUAAUUUGCUUGGCCAAUAAUUCUGAUGCAUGUUCAAGUUUGAGACCCACUGGACUCAAAAAGUAGAGCUAAGUGAUGAAGAAACAGUUCCUGGUGAUAGCAUCAUCUGAGUACCUGGAUCCCACCAUACCUGAGGGCAGAUCUAUAGUCCUGGACUUUUCAGGUCUCUGAGCGAUACAUUUUCCUUUGUUGCUUCAGCCAGUUUGCAUUUCUGACACUUGCUAUUAAUAAUGAACACUGACAUAUGCUAUGAGACUCUGGACUUUGGCAGAAUGGUCUUCCUGCUGCAGGUUUUCUUGACAGAAAUGCUAACUGCGCUAACUGCAGGGCUGUUAGGGUCUCCUAAUUCACUCACGCUGAGGGCUGUUACUUUAUUUCUGUGGUUGGCAGCUUGUCCGGGUAAAGUGGUUCCGAUAUAUAACUUCCCUAGAGCACUCUGACGACUUGGACAGUAAACUUUCUGCAGUAAAGACUGAUCUUCUUUCACCUUCAACAAGACAACAGGUCUCUGGAAGUUUCCUGGAAGGUUUAUUGAUAGAGACUAAAGUAACCCAGGGCAUGAGGCCCUUUCAUUAGAACAAGGGACAGUUAUAGUGAUAGAGAGGAAUUAAGCUCUCGUGGAGUUGCACCAUAUGUACAUUUAAUUGACAUAAAUUCAAUUUUAUGACCUUGGCCAAAGAUAAAGGAGCAAGGAGAGAAAUAACUCUUUUAAGAGAGCAGGCAAUAGGUUACACUUAUGGUAAUGGCAGGCUAUCUAAUCCAGACCAACCUGUCCCUGGAGCACAACUAGAAAACCUGGACCAAAUAGUAGUAUAAAAAUCUGUUUAUAAAAAGAAAUCUGUUUGAAGGCAUGGAGAGUGAACAGGGCUGUGAAGGGUUACAGGCAGGAGAACAGAAACCUAGAGAGGUGACCCCAGCACAUGGGAAGUGUUUCCCCUCAAGGUGCUGCUGAUUCUAAGAGCUGUUGCAAGGCUGAGAAACUGAAGAGAGCUGGUGACAGACUCAGGGCUACAGUCCGAGAGUCAGGGUGACCUAGAAAGAGCCAGGCGUGAAGGGCACAGAAAGGUUAACAAUGUAGGCAAAUCUAAAUUACUAUUGACUAUUUUAAUAAUAAUAAUGAUGUCUGGUGAGGUUUAAUAUCUAGAGAGAAUUAAAAUGCAUGACAAUAAUAGCAUUUAAUUUUGGAUGGGAGUAAAUGGAGUUACACAGUUGUAAGGUCUCCACUGAAUGAGAAGCAGUAAACUUGCUAAUUUAAAGUAGACUCUAAUAAGUCAAGAAUACAUGCUGCGAUCUCUGGUAAUGACUAAAGAAUAGUAAAAGAAUGUAUAACUAACAAGCUAAUAGAGAAGAAAAAAGAGGGAUAAUGUAAAGUAAUCAGUUCAGAAUAGGGCAAGAAAGGAGAGAAAAAGGAACAUAAAACAGGCAGAACAAAUAAAAAGCAAACAAUAAAAUGGCAGAUUUAAACUUAAAUAUAUCUGCAAUUACAUUAAACGUAAAUGGACUAAAUGUGCCCAUUAAAACACAUCGAUUGUUAGAGGAUAAAAAUAAAAACCAAUUACAUGGGGUUUACAAGAGACAAACCCCAAUGUAAGGAUGCAGAAUGUUUGAAACGAAAGGAUGAAAAAGGAUACGCUACAUAAACACUAACCAAAAGAAAGCUGGUCAACUUUAAGACAAAAGCAUUAUUAGAGUGAAAAAGAGACAACACAUGGUGAUAAAAGGUUCAGUUCACCAGGAAGAUAUAAAAAGGCUGAUUUUGUAUGCCCCCCAGGAAGAUGUCCCCCCCACAAACAGAAAGUAAAGCAUCUAAGCAGUCCAGAUUUUGCCUGGACACGUGACAGCUGGUUUGAGUCUUCUGUCCUUUCAGCAAGUCUCAGGGUCCUGUGCCUCUGGAGGAAGGAAUAUCUCAGUGACCUCAGCAUAAUGCCAGUGCUUAGAGUCACAUUUUCCCUACAACCAGACCCUAAACAAGGCCAACUGCUUCAUCUGGGGCUUGAGCAAGAAGCUGUGAUUGUCCCCACCCUGGAGGAGCAAUGACUCUCUUGGGCUUCAGGAGAGGUGACAUGGCUGUAUGGGGUUUUCUAGAAGGAGCCACAUACGCUGCACUUGAUCAUCAGUAUGAGGGAUUUUCAAGGGUAGCUUUAACCACCUGCACUUUUUUUUGACCUUUAGAACCUCAUCCCCGUGGGACAUGUGGCUCCAAUGUCAUCCCAUUUCAGUAUGAGGGUGGUAACAAUGCCAUGGUUUUCAACUUUCCUUUUUUUCAAAUUUGGCCUAUGUAGGAGCCAUGUGUACUUAACAGAUAAAGGCUGACCUCCAAACCUGUUCAAAAUGAGGAUGCCGCCACCUCAAACAGUGUCCUCUUUGAGGGAGUCAAUGGGACAAACUGAGAACCAAGUGCCAGGGACAGCUGGUAAUCUGAUUUUUACCAGAUGGACCCAGUGACAUGUGCUGUUUAUGUGAAUGCAUUGCUUCCUUGCCAUGGUGGUCAGGAAACUCAAAGUCAUGAGUGUGACCCCCUGAGGCAUUCAUCUGUUCACCCCUUGGCGUCAACUUAUUGUUCCUACUCUUGUUUUCCCUUUACCUUCAUUUCCUUACAUAUUUGUUAAAGUCUUCUUGCACUACAAAAUUUGUUAGAACAUGUCAGAACUUCUUGGAGAAAGGCAGAUUAUAAAUAAUUAAAGAAGCUCGACUGCUCAAAAAACUGUACAUGAAGGUGUGUGUUACAGUUGACUUGUUGAAGUCUUAACCUCCUAGUACCUGUGAAUGUGACCUUAUUUGGAAAUAGGGUCUUUGCUGAUGAUCGAGUUAAGAUGAGGUCAUUAGGGUGGGUCUCAAUCCAAUAUGACUGGUACCCUUAUAAAAAGGGGAAACUUGGACCCAUUGUAUGCAGGAAAGCACCAGGUGAAGGUUGGAGUUAUGUUGCCACAAGGCAAGGAAAUACCAGAAGCUAGGAGAGAAGCCUGGUGCAGAUUCACCCCUAGUGCCUUCAGAAGGAACAUGGCCCUGCUGACACCUUGAUCUUGGACUUCCCAGCCUCCAGAAAUGUGACGCAAUAACUUUCUAUUGUUUAAGCCAAUCAGAUUGUGGUACUUUGUUACAGCAGCCCUGGGAAAUGAAUACAGUAUUUGAAAUGAUUUUAGCUGAUACAUGGUUUAACUUUAAAAAUGUUAACUAUAUAUUUAUAUUAAUGAACAUUAGAAAAAACAGAACAAGUGACUCCAACCUGUGGAUUUUAGGCACGUCAUUGCUUAGAACUAGACUGAUGUGGGUAUGUCGCAAGCAAAUAGCAGUUUAGUUGACACAUGAGGGGCCAUGCAGUGGAGUGAUUUAGAACAGAUACUCUGCAGCCAGGUUUUAAACACUGGCUCUACACUUACUGGCUGUGUGACCUUGGACAGAUUCCUCAACCUCUCUGUGCCUUGGUUUCCUCUGUAUAAUAGUGUUGAUAAUAGCAGUACCUACUGCACGGGGUUGUUUGGGUGAUUAAAUGCAAGAUUAACACGUGUGGUACAAAACACAGCCUGGGCGCUGGUUCAGUGCUUUGUAAGUGCUGGUUCUUCAUUUUAUUACCCAGAAACGUAAAUAUUUAGUGAUCAUGGCCAGCACAUGAAGGAGGGAGAUCCCAGUGAGCCCAGUAG